This 5692-nucleotide long non-coding RNA is filed under the name Brassica napus (rape). RNAcentral's name for it is "long non-coding RNA (BNAP_LNC008602)". The record is from RNAcentral. Lineage: Eukaryota; Viridiplantae; Streptophyta; Magnoliopsida; Brassicales; Brassicaceae.
CUCUCCCUCAUCCGCAAAACUCUCAACAACAGACCAGGAGCUAGCGGUGGCGGAGCCUACCACACGCCUUCCCCUCUCCCUGUCCCCAUGGCUGAGCUUGACGCUGACUUCUCUGGCUCCACGAGACAAAAGAACUCCACCUUCUUCCACAGACGCUCUUUCCAAACCCCAAGCAGUGCGUGUAACGAUCCUUCCAUCCCUCAGCCAGGUCGUUUCAGUGUCUGUGACCGUGUCUUCUUCAGCCAAAGACCAAGUGACUUCGACCCUAGCUUCCGUGGUGGCAGCAGCAGUCACAGGCCUAGUGACUACUCUAGAAGGCCUAGUGACUACUCAAGGCAGAGUGAUUACUCUAAUAGGCCGAGUGAUUACUACUCCAGACCGAGUGAUUACUCACGGCCGAGUGACUUCUCAAGGUCCUCAGACGAUGAUAACGGUACUGGGGACUCUCCAAGCACUGUCCUGUACUCUCCAGGCUCUGCAGCAGCGAACGAGAGCGGUUAUAGGAUCCCUUGGAACUCUUCUCAGUAUUGUUUAGUCGCUAGCAAGCAAAUGGUUGGUGUCUUCUUAACCAUUUGGGUGAAAAGUGAGUUAAGAGAACACGUCAAGAACAUGAAAGUGUCUUGCGUUGGGAGAGGACUAAUGGGUUAUCUUGGGAACAAGGUUAGAUAAUGUUCUUUCGUUACAUGCUGAUCUGUUUUGUCUUUUUACAUUACUGUCUUAACCUCUUUGGUUCUUGUUUUGUAGGGAUCAAUCUCAAUAAGCAUGUUGCUUCAUCAAACAAGCUUUUGCUUUGUGUGCACUCACUUGACUUCAGGACAAAAGGAAGGUGAUGAGCUGAAGAGGAACUCUGAUGUCAUGGAGAUACUCAAGAAGACGAGGUUUCCUCGCGUUAAGAGCUUAGAGGAGGAGAAGUCUCCUGAAAAUAUACUUCAGCAUGAGUAAGUUUCAAUGAUCUUACAUUUUUUUUAAAACAGUUUCUUGAUGUUUUUUUAUCAUAUGUUAUUAUUACCAGCCGGGUGAUAUGGCUUGGAGAUCUGAACUACCGGAUAGCACUCACUUACCGAUCUGCUAAAGCCCUCGUUGAGAUGCAGAACUGGAGAGCUUUGCUUGAAAACGACCAGCUAAGAAUAGAGCAGAAACGAGGCCAUGUGUUCAAAGGAUGGAACGAAGGAAAGAUCUACUUCCCACCAACGUACAAGUACUCUAGAAACUCAGAUAGAUACUCUGGAGAUGACUUGCAUCCCAAGGAGAAACGUCGCACUCCUGCUUGGUAAAGUUUCCCUUUGUACAACAACAUCAAGAAACCAAGAACUUCUUGUUUGUAUAUGAUCUGACUGUUUUUUUUUUUUUUUUAUGUUUAAAAAGGUGUGAUAGGAUAUUGUGGUACGGUGAAGGACUGCAUCAGUUAUCUUAUGUAAGAGGAGAGUCAAAGUUCUCGGAUCAUAGACCUGUCUACGGCAUUUUCUGCGCUGAGGUUGAGUCAGCUCAUAAUAAGCUAAAGCGAACCAUGAGUUGUUCAGCUUCACGUGUUCAAGCUGAAGAGCUCUUACCUUAUUCCCGUGGCUACACCGAGCUCAGCUUCUUUUAAAAGUAACACACGUGUUUCACGGUAAUUUUUCUUAAGUCUUUCACCGAACCAGCAUAUUGGGACAUAGGUAGGUAGAUAAUGUCACUGUGUCAGUGACAUGAGCUGUUUCGAAACUAAACAAGUCCACAAGAUGUCUGUGGUCCUGAGUUGCAUAAUAGAGAGUGGAGACCAGUCUAAUGCUAGCUCUCUGCAUUUAUGUGCAAAGGUGUGUGUGUAAUCUCAACCAAAGAAUGAGCCACCGCCACCUCUUAGAUCAUUUAUAAGAUCAACCAUUUGAUUUUGAUUUCCCUGGACCCAUUAGAUUUUUUUUGCAUAUAAGGAUAAGUCAAAACAUUUAAAGGUUUGAUAAAGUUGUCAUCACCUUCUGCAUAUUAUAAAGUCUUUGCUGUCUUUAAUUUAAAUUCUACAAAGAUUUAAACUUUCUUGAACCCCAGAUGAAUUUUUUUCACUAAUGGUGGAAAUGGAUUGGCUUUUGUCAGGUGAACUAAAGUGUUUUUUGGAUCUUUGAGAGUGAUGGAGACGUUACAUUGCUUCUUUAGCUCCAAGGGAACAGGUUCGUUGUAAAAAAUAUACUAUUAUCUUUACGUUUUCCGGUUUGAUUUUUAAACUCUUUGUACCGGGUAAUUUCUGGUUUGCAGGUGUAGAAAGUGUUUUAUUUUUGGCCUCGGUUAACUAAUUUUCACAUACCGGUGGGUUCUGUGGUGUAUCCAGUUCAUGGUUUUUGCUAACUUCUGGUGGAUAGAAAUUUUACAGCUACGUUAUAAGGUAAGAAUUCAGUUGAUAAUUGUCAAAUUUACAGUUUGCUUGUAACUUAAUUCCCAUUUUAUUUCAAGUAAUUGUGUAAUUUAAACACUUUUAUUUACACAAACUAUGUUUUGUUUUGUGCAGGCAAUCAACUAACCAAUCAGAGAUCGCCAAGUAGACACAUUAGGAAAGUUCUUUUGAUUUUGUUUAGUUUUCAUUCUUUUGAUUUAAGCACAAUUAGGGAAAAUAUGGUUUUCUGUUCUUUUUUUUUUGUGAUCAACUGCGGUGUGUCCCCACGGUAAUUAUUUUGUAAUGUUUAUUAUGUGAUGUUAAUGUCAAGUGUAACGAAAAUUAUACCCAAAAAAAAACAAAGAAUUUCUGUUUUUAUUUAGUGAAAAUUGCCGAAAAGUAAAAGGGAACUGAUGCCUUCUUGUAAUGAUCGUUUGACUAUACAUAGUUUGUGUUUCUAGAUAAAUUAAUGAUCAAUCUUGCAUUUAAAUACAAGUUACCAUAAAGAUUUCUAUGUUUAUUUGUCAUUUCAAGAACUAUAACCUAAGCAGUGGUUCAAGAGAAAUUUAGAUGACAUGUUGUUUUCACUAAAGUCUAAGAUUUUGUUUUCCAACAAAUUCAAAGAUUCUUAUGUUAAGAACUUUUUCAAAAACCGAGAUUUUGAUUUUUGUAUACCAUACUAAGCAGUAUGGUUCAAGAGAAAUUUAGAUGACAUGUUGUUUUCACUAAAGUCUAAGAUUUUGUUUUCCAACAAAUUCAAAGAUUCUUAUGUUAAGAACUUUUUCAAAAACCGAGAUUUUGAUUUUUGCACCAACAAUAAUGUUUAAAUUAGUUUGUAAAGUUUCAAAUGUUACGCUUCUGGUUUAGGACAUUUUGUGCCUUUAAUACAGUAAUGGUUGAUAAAAAACUGUUUAAAAUUAAUUUUGAUUUCAAGCUUUUUUAUUAUCUGACAUGCUAUGUUACACAUCUUCUUUUUAAGAGCAUGCACUUGACACGUCUCACUAGCUAAAUGAUUAUAAGAAAAAAAAACGCCUCGACUUUUUCUUUUGCAUUUUCUGUUUAUUGUAUUAUUACAAGAUGAAAUGAUAAUUUCUACUAGAGUUGACAAAAUCACUCGGCAUGUUUUUUAUCAAAUCAUAAAUAUCCGUAGAAUCAUGAUUUACAUUCACUUAUUCUAUAAUUCUACAGGUUUAAUAAUACAUGCAUAAAUGAUUAUGCCAGUCCACAGAUUUUUCAGCUGAAUUAAAACUGGUUUAGUAUUUUUUGAACAGAGACUUAAACCAAUAUAUUUAUACGUAUUUCAAUGCAUUUAACCCUGAAUUAAAAUGAGUAAAUCCAUGAACAAAAAUUAUGAAGGUUGUCACCUUUCAAGAUUAGAGAUAAAACGUGUUGAAAAUAAAAGAGCAUAGAGAUUAUUUUAUUAACAAACUUUCAACACCAACAAAAUCCUAAAUAUUAUUGGCAAACAAAAUUAUAAGCUAAUGCGAUUUGAACUAUAAAGACGUUGCAAAAAUUAAAGAUUUUUGUUUUGGAGAUCUAAUCAAUGGGUUAUCUCUCUGUCAUCUUAUUAAACUAGAUGGUUAUAAAGUUUGGAAAGAAAUAUACACAUUCCCAUAAUAAUACCUAAUUAAUAUUAAAAAUAAAUGAAAAAAAGUAGAGCAAAUACUAAAAACCAAGUCACUCCGCACUUUAAUUUUGUUCAAAAUCCUCCGCUGCUUUUACUUACUUUGCCGUUUCAAUGAAGACUACUAAUCUCUCUCUCCUUCACAGAUCACACAAACACAAAAAGAAGCUUAAGACUCUUCUCUCACUCUAUAGAAUUUUUCCACUUUAACUUUCUCACUCUAAAAAUCUGCCCCUCAUUGUCUCUUCGCCUCUGUCUCUACUUCAAAGAAUUGAUGUCUCUUUAAAAACACUUUCUCUUAUUUUAAAGCACUUCCUCUCUCUCUUUCUCUUUGAACACACUUCCUUUUCUCCCUAACGCCCAUUAAAAAACCUUCCCUCAAUUUGAGAGAAAAAAAAAAAAGUCUAAGGGAUCUAAAACUCACUUCUUAUCUUUAGGGAGAAACCAAAGAUUCUGCUUUCCUCUAGCUUACUCUCUUGUUUAUGUUUCUGUCUGGUCCAUAGGGAGAAAACCAAACCCCAAUUCCACUCAAAUUUGGGAAAUUUUCAUACUUUUUUUUGGCAUAUUUGUUUGUGGAUGGGUUGAGUUUCUGUUAAAAGGAGAAAAAGAGCCAUACACACACACACUAGUGCAGAAUCAAAAGAAGGAGUAACAAUGAGAGAAGACAAAUCCAAAACAAACAAGGUUUCUAUUUUUCUUCUCUCUAAAUCUGUUACCUUUAUUGCCCAUCUUGAUGGAAUUUUCAAAAGGCUCAUUUUUUCUUUUGAAUGUUUCUGAAAAUGAAGCUGGCAUGGUCCAAGAAGAUGGUCAGGAAAUGGUUUAAUAUCAAAAGCAAAACAGAGGAGUUUCAAACAGAUGUUCCUGCUCCUUCUGCUUCUAAUGGUAAAGUCUCUCUCUUUCUUUCUGUAACUUAAUCUUGUUUUUUUUUGUCUCUCCUGAGAUAAUCUUAAUUCAUUUGUUUCUGAUAUAUUUUGAUUAAAAGGUAUUGAAGUAGAGCACAGAAGUAGCUUCUCAGUAGAGAAAGCUCCCACCACAAUCAACAAGUCCAAAACUGGUAUAAUCAUAGUAACAUAUUAUUACUCCACUUUAAUUUUAUUUAUUUUUACUGAUGAUUUCUUGAUUUAACAGAGAAGCUAAGUAAGAACUGGGAGCAGCAAGCUCGCCAAAGGAGAAUGAACUAUGAGAAUCCUAGGAUCAUUGAUGUCCAAAACUACAGGUAUAACAUACACAUGUCAUGACUCAUAACUAUGAUCCAUUGCUACUAAAGUCAUAACUUUUGAGCAGCAUCUUUACUGCUACAUGGAACGUAGCUGGACGCUCUCCACCUCCUGACUUAAACCUCGACGAGUGGCUUCACUCCUCAGCUCCCGCAGACAUAUACGUCCUCGGCUUCCAAGAGAUUGUUCCUCUCAACGCUGGCAACGUCCUCGGAUCCGAAGACAACGGACCUGCUCAGAAAUGGCUCUCCCUCAUCCGCAAAACUCUCAACAACAGACCAGGAGCUAGCGGUGGCGGAGCCUACCACACGCCUUCCCCUCUCCCUGUCCCCAUGGCUGAGCUUGACGCUGACUUCUCUGGCUCCACGAGACAAAAGAACUCCACCUUCUUCCACAGACGCUCUUUCCAAACCCCAAGCAGUGCGUGUAACGAUCCUUCCAUCCCUCAGCCAGGUCGUUUCAGUGUCUGUGACCGUGUCUUCUUCAGCCAAAGACCAAGUGACUUCGACC